RNAcentral lists this ribosomal RNA (439 nucleotides) under uncultured prokaryote. RNAcentral describes it as "partial 16S ribosomal RNA". The record is from RNAcentral.
CCUACGGGAGGCUGCCAUCCAGGGAGGGCUUAUCACCGGGGAGCUGUCCGUUGACCAGGAUAUUAUCAUCACCGAUGUUUGCCCCUACACUUUAGGUGUGAAAUGUAUUAUGGAAAUAAACGGACUGCCCCUGCCGGGUAUGUUUGAUCCCUUGAUCACGAGGAAUACUACCAUUCCUGUCUCCACCAAUAAACUUUACGAGACUUCCUUUGAUAAUCAAGAUAAGGUGUAUAUUGACGUUUAUCAGGGGGAAAGAGAAAUUGCCAUAGAGAAUAAUGAAAUCGGCAGUGUUUUAUUAGGUGAAAUUCCCCCGGCAAAAGCAGGAGAGGAAAAAAUUGAUGUACAGUUUUCCUAUGACAUUAAUGGAAUAUUGGACGUCAAAGCCCGGAUCGUGAGUACCGGCCGGGAUGCCUCGAUCAGUAUUGAUACCCUAGUAGUC